RNAcentral lists this ribosomal RNA (465 nucleotides) under uncultured bacterium. Its description in RNAcentral is "partial 16S ribosomal RNA". It matches the Rfam family "Bacterial small subunit ribosomal RNA", at positions 28 to 507 of the family's 1533-position model. The record is from RNAcentral.
GACGAACGCUGGCGGCGUGCUUAACACAUGCAAGUCGAACGGUAAGGCCCCUUCGGGGGUCCACGAGUGGCGAACGGGUGAGUAACACGUGAGCAACCUGCCCUUGACUCUGGAAUAACAGUUGGAAACAGCUGCUAAUACUGGAUACUCAUCGUCUCCUUCCUGGGGGGUGGUGGAAAGCUCCGGCGGUCAGGGAUGGGCUCGCGGCCUAUCAGCUUGUUGGUGAGGUAAUGGCUCACCAAGGCUUCGACGGGUAGCCGGCCUGAGAGGGCGACCGGCCACACUGGGACUGAGAUACGGCCCAGACUCCUACGGGAGGCAGCAGUGGGGAAUAUUGCACAAUGGGCGCAAGCCUGAUGCAGCAACGCCGCGUGCGGGAUGACGGCCUUCGGGUUGUAAACCGCUUUCAGUAGGGACGAAGGGUGACUGACGGUACCUACAGAAGAAGGACCGGCUAACUACGUG